This 514-nucleotide unclassified non-coding RNA is filed under the name Hevea brasiliensis (rubber tree). The record is from RNAcentral. Lineage: Eukaryota; Viridiplantae; Streptophyta; Magnoliopsida; Malpighiales; Euphorbiaceae.
GGAACGUGGCAAUUCCCACAGCACAAAUUCAUGGAAAACCGCUUAAAAACAUGCUUUCCAACAAGAACUCUCAUUUGAGUAUUCAAUUAUGAGACAAAGCCGCAAUUACUUAUGGGAGCAUAAUUAUGGAAAUAAAAUAUCCUACAAAACUUGAAAUCUGAAGAAAACGAACGAGUAUUUUAUUUCUGAAAUGAUUUUUUUUUCAAGGUUUCGAAGUUUUACCCUUUGGAAACAACCACAUGCUGAAGAUUUUCUUCAUAAUAGAGGCUUUGGUUUUGCAGACGUUAUAUGUCAAGGAGGAGUCUCCGUGGGUCUUCCACGACAUCCUUGAUGCGGCGCAAAAAGAACACGGCCUCUCUCCCAUCAAUGAGUCUAUGGUCAUAUGUUAGAGCAAUGUACAUCAUUGGCCUUGGGACAACGUUGCCUCCAACCACCACAGGACGGGAGACGAUCGAGUGCAUUCCCAAGAUUGCAGACUGAGGAGGAUUAAUAAUGGGGGUACUCAGAAGGCUUC